RNAcentral lists this long non-coding RNA (1246 nucleotides) under Olea europaea subsp. europaea. Lineage: Eukaryota; Viridiplantae; Streptophyta; Magnoliopsida; Lamiales; Oleaceae. The record is from RNAcentral.
UGGGAAUCUGAUUUCUGAAUGCUCGAAAGUUUUGUGUCAGAAAUUGAUAAUUGAACACUAUAUUGAUUGUCUGUUCUCAUUUAAUGAUCUAGUGAAAAUUUCAUACGGAUUUAUAGACGUUUUGCAAUCUCUACUUCAUCAACAAAUGCUUUUGUAGAUCAAUUAAUUUAACCAAAGAUAAGUUUUCAUAUUGUUCAACUUGGUUUCGUUAACAUACUAUGUUGCAACAUAUGUUCAAAUAUAGAAUGCUAGUCAACGUGAUCAUUAUAUGGUAUAGCAUUCUAACUGACUCCAGUAGUUAAGCAAGCUAUACUCAGAUAUAUACGUUUUGAGGUAUUUCUCAAGCUAAGAAGCUUUUAUGAUGACUAAGGAAAAGGUUAAUAUCUGAACCAUCAGGCCACUAAAUUGACUAGCAUGUUUACGAUCACUUGGGUUAUUUCUCUUAAAUUGCUAUCUUUAGGCUCAACUAAGGAAAGAGGAGUAAGUUAAAAUGAUCACGCCUAUUAGAGAAAAAACUUGCCACCUUCUUUUUUCCCAAUCACAUAAACAUCUAUCCAUGUUGUUGCAAGAUUUCCACCAUUUACCAAUUUCUCUUUUGAUAGCUUCUACUACCGCUACAGACCUUCCUCUCUCCCUUAACUUAUGGUUAAGGACCACAACUCUGCAAGUAUAGCCACUAAAAUCACCAUUGCAGCUAUAUCUGCCAUCAUCCAAGCUUUGUAAACCAACCCCACUUGGCUACCUUCCUAUAAGGUAUUAUCCAUUUUUUAAUUGAAGGUGCAGAUUAUUUGCAUAAAUGAAACAUAUUUGAAGCUUGACUAAUGUGCUUAUAAGCUCAACUUGUUGAAUUGAGGAUGAUAAAUUACGCUAGAGCUCAAUAAUUUGAGCUUCUUCCUAAGUAUGGAAUCCACGGAUGGGGGAAGUUAUAAUAAAGUUCACAAGUCCUCAAAUUUUAAUGAUGGAAUAGAUGGAAGGUUAUGAACUUCCGUUUUGUGGUUUUGAGUGUAAUUUUAACACAUUCAUCACAUCUUCGCAAAUAUUGUACGAAAUAGUUGUAGCUGUGUAAAGACAGUAUGUAAUGAUAAAUUUAGCUCCUAUUUGUUUCCCAUUAUUUGGUUAUUAAAAUGAAAAAUAUGACCGUUAUCCAUCAUAUCAAGCCAUCAUAUUUGAAUUUUUAUCCCUUAUGUGGGAUCCGUAACAGCUAUAUUUUUCAUUCUCAUUAUUACAUUAAUGAGAAACAAACGGG